GAUAAGAACGUAGCGAAAUGCGAUAAGUAGUGUGAAUUGCAGAAUUCAGUGAAUCAUCGAAUCUUUGAACGCACAUUGCGCCCCUUGGUAUUCCAUGGGGCAUGCCUGUUCGAGCGUCAUUUGUACCUUCAAGCUCUGCUUGGUGUUGGGUGUUUGUCUCGCCUCUGCGUGUAGACUCGCCUCAAAACAAUUGGCAGCCGGCGUAUUGAUUUCGGAGCGCAGUACAUCUCGCGCUUUGCACUCAUAACGACGACGUCCAAAAGUACAUUUUUACACUCUUGACCUCGGAUCAGGUAGGGAUACCCGCUGAACUUAAGCAUAUCAAUAAGCGGAGGA
RNAcentral lists this unclassified non-coding RNA (336 nucleotides) under soil metagenome. RNAcentral's name for it is "partial contains 5.8S ribosomal RNA, internal transcribed spacer 2, and large subunit ribosomal RNA". The stretch from base 4 to 119 matches the Rfam family "5.8S ribosomal RNA", at positions 39 to 154 of the family's 154-position model. The record is from RNAcentral.